Molecule: ribosomal RNA, 400 nt
Filed under: uncultured Caulobacter sp.
Lineage: Bacteria; Pseudomonadati; Pseudomonadota; Alphaproteobacteria; Caulobacterales; Caulobacteraceae
Description: bacterial SSU rRNA
Rfam family: Bacterial small subunit ribosomal RNA
Source: RNAcentral
CAGGGAUUGACAUGACGGUAGUAGUGAAGCGAAAGCGGAACGACCCUUCGGGGAGCCGUCACAGGUGAUGCAUGGCUGUCGUCAGCUCGUGCCGUGAGGUGUUUGGUUAAGUCCACUAACGAGCGCAACCCUCGCUGUUAGUUGCCACCAUUUAGUUGGGCACUCUAACAGGACUGCCGGAGUUAAUCCGGAGGAAGGCGGGGAUGACGUCAAGUCCUCAUGGCCCUUACAAGGUGGGCUACACACGUGCUACAAUGGCGACUACAGAGGGCUGCAACCCAGCGAUGGUGAGCCAAUCCCAAAAAGUCGUCUCAGUUCGGAUUGUUCUCUGCAACUCGAGAGCAUGAAGUCGGAAUCGCUAGUAAUCGCGGAUCAGCAUGCCGCGGUGAAUACGUUCCCG